UGGGGAAUCUUGGACAAUGGGGGCAACCCUGAUCCAGCCAUGCCGCGUGAGUGAUGAAGGCCUUAGGGUCGUAAAGCUCUUUCGCCUGUGAAGAUAAUGACGGUAGCAGGUAAAGAAACCCCGGCUAACUCCGUGCCAGCAGCCGCGGUAAUACGGAGGGGGUUAGCGUUGUUCGGAAUUACUGGGCGUAAAGCGCACGUAGGCGGACCAGAAAGUUGGGGGUGAAAUCCCGGGGGCUCAACCCCGGAACUGCCUCCAAAACUAUUGGUCUAGAGUUCGAGAGAGGUGAGUGGAAUUCCAAGUGUAGAGGUGAAAUUCGUAGAUAUUUGGAGGAACACCAGUGGCGAAGGCGGCUCACUGGCUCGAUACUGACGCUGAGGUGCGAAAGUGUGGGGAGCAAACAGGAUUAGAUACCCUGGUAGUCCACACCGUAAAACGAUGAAUGCCAGUCGUCGGGUAGCAUGCUAUUCGGUGACACACCUAACGGAUU
RNAcentral lists this ribosomal RNA (490 nucleotides) under uncultured bacterium. RNAcentral's name for it is "bacterial SSU rRNA". It matches the Rfam family "Bacterial small subunit ribosomal RNA", at positions 355 to 861 of the family's 1533-position model. The record is from RNAcentral.